GACGAACGCUGGCGGCGUGCCUAAUACAUGCAAGUUGAGCGCUGAAGGUUGGUACUUGUACCAACUGGAUGAGCAGCGAACGGGUGAGUAACGCGUGGGGAAUCCGCCUUUGAGCGGGGGACAACAUUUGGAAACGAAUGCUAAUACCGCAUAAAAACUUUAAACACAAGUUUUAAGUUUGAAAGAUGCAAUUGCAUCACUCAAAGAUGAUCCCGCGUUGUAUUAGCUAGUUGGUGAGGUAAAGGCUCACCAAGGCGAUGAUACAUAGCCGACCUGAGAGGGUGAACGGCCACAUUGGGACUGAGACACGGCCCAAACUCCUACGGGAGGCAGCAGUAGGGAAUCUUCGGCAAUGGACGAAAGUCUGACCGAGCAACGCCGCGUGAGUGAAGAAGGUUUUCGGAUCGUAAAACUCUGUUGGUAGAGAAGAACGUUGGUGAGAGUGGAAAGCUCAUCAAGUGACGGUAACUACCCAGAAAGGGACGGCUAACUACGUG
Molecule: ribosomal RNA, 497 nt
Filed under: uncultured bacterium
Lineage: Bacteria
Description: partial 16S ribosomal RNA
Rfam family: Bacterial small subunit ribosomal RNA
Source: RNAcentral